This 373-nucleotide ribosomal RNA is filed under the name Cylichna sp. DTLT2001. RNAcentral's name for it is "partial 28S ribosomal RNA". The record is from RNAcentral. Lineage: Eukaryota; Metazoa; Mollusca; Gastropoda; Cephalaspidea; Cylichnidae.
UACUGAAACCGCCCAGAGGUAAACGGGUGGAUCCGCAAAGUCGGCCCGCGGAAUUCAGCUCGGCGCGCGGCUCGGGGCUGCUGAGGUUCGGGAUCCCUGGGACCCGUCCUCGGCGUCGCACCGGGCUCCGCCGUGUGCACUUUCCGCGGGCAGAGCGCCACGAUCGGCUUCGGGGCGGUCAGAAGCCCGGGGGGAAGGUAGGCGUGCGCUUUCGUCGGCAUGCGCUGUUACAGACCUCCGUGGUGGACCGUCCUGGGGCCGAGGAACGACCGUCGUCUUUAGGCUGCCCGGUCUUCUCGGGGAGUUCGACUGGCAGGGACUGGCAACAGUGCCUGGCGACCGCUCUCCUGGACGGAUCGGGACCGCCGGGGUG